GGCUGCCUGGCCCAAUGGUCAAGGCGCCUGCCUACGAUGCCGGAACACCGGGUUGCGAGCAGGAGAUUCCAGGUUCGAGUCCUGGGGUGGUCG
This 93-nucleotide transfer RNA is filed under the name Puccinia triticina 1-1 BBBD Race 1. Its description in RNAcentral is "Puccinia triticina tRNA PTTG_20442". It matches the Rfam family "tRNA". Rfam says of the family: Transfer RNA (tRNA) molecules are approximately 80 nucleotides in length. Their secondary structure includes four short double-helical elements and three loops (D, anti-codon, and T loops). The record is from Rfam by way of RNAcentral. Lineage: Eukaryota; Fungi; Basidiomycota; Pucciniomycetes; Pucciniales; Pucciniaceae.